RNAcentral lists this ribosomal RNA (505 nucleotides) under uncultured bacterium. RNAcentral describes it as "partial 16S ribosomal RNA". It matches the Rfam family "Bacterial small subunit ribosomal RNA", at positions 28 to 507 of the family's 1533-position model. The record is from RNAcentral.
GACGAACGCUGGCGGCGUGCCUAAUACAUGCAAGUGGGACGCAAGGAAACACACUGUGCUUGCACACCGUGUUUUCUUGAGUCGCGAACGGGUGAGUAACGCGUAGGUAACCUGCCUAUUAGCGGGGGAUAACUAUUGGAAACGAUAGCUAAUACCGCAUAAUAUUAAUUAUUGCAUGAUAAUUGAUUGAAAGAUGCAAGCGCAUCACUAGUAGAUGGACCUGCGUUGUAUUAGCUAGUUGGUAAGGUAAGAGCUUACCAAGGCGACGAUACAUAGCCGACCUGAGAGGGUGAUCGGCCACACUGGGACGGAGACACGGCCCAGACUCCUACGGGAGGCAGCAGUAGGGAAUCUUCGGCAAUGGACGAAAGUCUGACCGAGCAACGCCGCGUGAGUGAAGAAGGGUUUCGGAUCGUAAAGCUCUGUUGUAAGUCAAGAACGUGUGUGAGAGUGGAAAGUUCACACAGUGACGGUAGCUUACCAGAAAGGGACGGCUAACUACGUG